Molecule: ribosomal RNA, 320 nt
Filed under: uncultured Prevotella sp.
Lineage: Bacteria; Pseudomonadati; Bacteroidota; Bacteroidia; Bacteroidales; Prevotellaceae
Description: bacterial SSU rRNA
Rfam family: Bacterial small subunit ribosomal RNA
Source: RNAcentral
GAUGAACGCUAGCUACAGGCUUAACACAUGCAAGUCGAGGGGCAGCAUUAUCGAAGCUUGCUUUGGUAGAUGGCGACCGGCGCACGGGUGAGUAACGCGUAUCCAACCUUCCCAUCACUCAGGGAUAGCCCGCCGAAAGGCGAAUUAAUACUCUAUGUUCUCCUUUGCAGGCAUCUAACGAGGAACAAAGAUUCAUCGGUAAGGGAUGGGGAUGCGUCUGAUUAGCUUGCCGGCGGGGUAACGGCCCACCGGGGCAACGAUCAGUAGGGGUUCUGAGAGGAAGGUCCCCCACAUUGGUACUGAGACACGGACCAAACUCC